This 504-nucleotide ribosomal RNA is filed under the name Triticum aestivum (bread wheat). RNAcentral's name for it is "partial small subunit ribosomal RNA". The record is from RNAcentral. Lineage: Eukaryota; Viridiplantae; Streptophyta; Magnoliopsida; Poales; Poaceae.
AUGUGCGUGUGGGGCCUGGCUGACCGAUGCAUCGUGCGUGCCUCACCUCCAUCUGCAGUUGGAGAGAGAUGGACUGGCAAAAUAUCUCCGUCAGCCCUUGGCCACCUCCAGUUUCCCUUUCCACCUCUCCAAUCUCCACCGCCGCUGCCGCCCCGCCCCCUCUCGGUUUCUCAUGCUGCCGCUCCGACGAAGAGCGCGCCGCUGGUGCUUAGAUUCCGGGGACAUCUCAUGGUCUUAGUUGACGGAAGGAGGGGAAGAGCAGCCGCGCCAGGCGGCAUGCCUUGCUGUGCCGCAUGGCAGCCGCUGCCCCAUGCUUUGCCGGCGCCGUCUCAUCGUCUUCAUAGACAUGCGCAUCUCUGUCAGGACCGCGCGUCCAUGCCUCCCCAUCUACCGGGCUGGAGUGGCCGCCUACUGGUUGAGGCAUCGCGCGGCAUCGAACGUCCUCGGCUGCUGCCGCUGCUGCUGGCCGGGUCCCUCCUCUCGCUCCUGCCGAGGCUGAGGUGA